AAACGGCGGGAGUAACUA
This 18-nucleotide non-coding RNA is filed under the name Arabidopsis thaliana (thale cress). Lineage: Eukaryota; Viridiplantae; Streptophyta; Magnoliopsida; Brassicales; Brassicaceae. The record is from RNAcentral. RNAcentral also lists the same sequence under 2 other names.